AGUGAUCGCUGGCGGCAUGCCUUACACAUGCAAGUCGAACGGCAGCGGGGGAGAAGCUUGCUUUUCCUGCCGGCGAGUGGCGAACGGGUGAGUAAUACAUCGGAACGUGCCCUGUAGUGGGGGAUAACUAGUCGAAAGAUUAGCUAAUACCGCAUACGACCUGAGGGUGAAAGUGGGGGACCGCAAGGCCUCAUGCUAUAGGAGCGGCCGAUGUCUGAUUAGCUAGUUGGUGGGGUAAAGGCCUACCAAGGCGACGAUCAGUAGCUGGUCUGAGCAGACGAUCAGCCACGGUGAGAAGACGACACGGCCCAGUCUCCUACGGGAGGCAGCAGUGGGGAAUUUUGGACAAUGGGCGAAAGCCUGAUCCAGCAAUGCCUCGUGUGUGAAGAAGGCAUUCGGGUUGUAAAGCACUUUUGUCCGGAAAGAAAGGGCUCUGGUUAAUACCUGGGGUCGAUGACGGUACCGGAAGAAUAAGGACCGGCUAACUACGUGCCAGCCGCCGCCGUAA
RNAcentral lists this ribosomal RNA (508 nucleotides) under uncultured bacterium. RNAcentral's name for it is "partial 16S ribosomal RNA". It matches the Rfam family "Bacterial small subunit ribosomal RNA", at positions 29 to 523 of the family's 1533-position model. The record is from RNAcentral.